Molecule: ribosomal RNA, 250 nt
Filed under: uncultured bacterium
Lineage: Bacteria
Description: partial 16S ribosomal RNA
Rfam family: Bacterial small subunit ribosomal RNA
Source: RNAcentral
UACGGAGGGUGCGAGCGUUAAUCGGAAUUACUGGGCGUAAAGCGUGCGUAGGUGGUUUGAUAAGUUAUCUGUGAAAUUCCUGGGCUUAACCUGGGCAGGUCAGAUAAUACUGUUGGACUCGAGUAUGGGAGAGGGUAGUGGAAUUUCCGGUGUAGCGGUGAAAUGCGUAGAGAUCGGAAGGAACACCAGUGGCGAAGGCGGCUACCUGGCCUAAUACUGACACUGAGGCACGAAAGCGUGGGGAGCAAAC